RNAcentral lists this transfer RNA (106 nucleotides) under archaeon. Its description in RNAcentral is "tRNA-Asp". It matches the Rfam family "tRNA". Rfam says of the family: Transfer RNA (tRNA) molecules are approximately 80 nucleotides in length. Their secondary structure includes four short double-helical elements and three loops (D, anti-codon, and T loops). Further hydrogen bonds mediate the characteristic L-shaped molecular structure. tRNAs have two regions of fundamental functional importance: the anti-codon, which is responsible for specific mRNA codon recognition, and the 3' end, to which the tRNAs corresponding amino acid is attached (by aminoacyl-tRNA synthetases). tRNAs cope with the degeneracy of the genetic code in two manners: having more than one tRNA (with a specific anti-codon) for a particular amino acid; and 'wobble' base-pairing, i.e. permitting non-standard base-pairing at the 3rd anti-codon position. The record is from RNAcentral. RNAcentral also lists the same sequence under 1 other name.
GCCCUGGUAGUGUAGUUCGGCACGUUGACAAUCAAACGAUUUCACGCGAUAACUAUCAUGAAGCCCUGUCGAGGCUUCGACCCGGGUUCGAAUCCCGGCCAGGGCG